This 888-nucleotide non-coding RNA is filed under the name Homo sapiens (human). Lineage: Eukaryota; Metazoa; Chordata; Mammalia; Primates; Hominidae. The record is from RNAcentral.
AUUCCCCAGCCGUCUAAAACAAGCGGUCCUAAGGCUUUUCGCUCUAGAAAUGGGACUUACUUUGCAGACCUCCCUUUAUCUGGGAGACAAAUCCAGCGUGAUUUAGCCUACCGGACCAUCAUAUCCAAUUUCUUCUUCAGCCCCUUCUGAAAGGGAGAUGCUACACACCACUCACCUUUCUGACUUCUGAUUCUCGUUGCCCUCAGAAUUGACACCCCCUUUUCUCUCCCCCCACCCACCACACGCACAUGCACACAGACAUACACACGCGAACUUCAAGACAAUUUUUGCAUCGCUUAACACAUUUUCACCUCUUUCAGAGCUGGAAGACAGCUGUUCCUGGAUCACACCAGAAUGGAGAAGCAAGCUCCUCCCACUAGCAGAAAGCCUUUGCUUUCUGUGCCUGGAUUCGGAAGAUUAGUUAAGCACUGGAAGAGGAGGGGGGAAACAACAACUCGUUUUUGCUUAGAUUUCCACCUGUUCCCAUCCUCCACAGUCUCCCAUCCCACCAGCAACACACGUGAGAUAUCUGAUGCCUUCCCAUCAAUAACUCUCACUUAGUAUGGGUAAGCAAAAAAUUUCCAACCAGGGAUGGAAGUUGUGGAGAGAUAGAGUGGGAAAGCUCAAGGAGCAUUGAUAGGGAUCAUUAAUUAAAAAUCUACCAAACAUCUCUUUCUCUCCCUAAUGUGCGAGUUACAAUAACAUCACUCAAAGCAGUUUGCAGCCACAGCUUGAAGAAAUACAGUAACAAUGACAGAAUUAACAUUCACUAUCUUUAUUAACAUUUUUACUUUCUUAAACCUUGUUUCUUUCAAAAGACACUGGCAUAGUCCUGUAUGAAUUAUGUGGAUUUGCCAAGAGAAAAAAAUAAAAUGAUACAACAAAUGG